RNAcentral lists this ribosomal RNA (242 nucleotides) under uncultured bacterium. Its description in RNAcentral is "partial 16S ribosomal RNA". It matches the Rfam family "Bacterial small subunit ribosomal RNA", at positions 90 to 334 of the family's 1533-position model. The record is from RNAcentral.
CACGAGUGGCGAACGGGUGAGUAACACGUGGGUGAUCUGCCCCAAACUUUGGGAUAAGCCUGGGAAACUGGGUCUAAUACCGGAUAUGACCACUGAUCGCAUGGUUGGUGGUGGAAAGCUUUGCGGUUUGGGAUGGGCCCGCGGCCUAUCAGCUUGUUGGUGGGGUAAUGGCCUACCAAGGCGACGACGGGUAGCCGGCCUGAGAGGGCGACCGGCCACACUGGGACUGAGACACGGCCCAG